RNAcentral lists this unclassified non-coding RNA (243 nucleotides) under Icmadophila ericetorum (peppermint drop lichen). Its description in RNAcentral is "partial contains 5.8S ribosomal RNA, internal transcribed spacer 2, and large subunit ribosomal RNA". The record is from RNAcentral. Lineage: Eukaryota; Fungi; Ascomycota; Lecanoromycetes; Pertusariales; Icmadophilaceae.
CGCACAUUGCACCUUUUGGUAUUCCGAAAGGUAUGCCUGUUCGAGCGUCAUUUCACCUCCUCAACUUCAUGUUGGUAUUGGAUCAAAAAGGUAAAACUUUUGAUCUCGAAAUGAAUGAUUAAGUAUUGAAACUUGAAUAUACGACGAGCUUUUUGCAUGUAUUGAAAAGAUUCUUUACUCGAUUCAACCCAAAAUUUUUUCCAGGUUGACCUCGAAUCAGGUAGGAUUACCCGCUGAACUUAA